Molecule: long non-coding RNA, 1323 nt
Filed under: Zea mays
Lineage: Eukaryota; Viridiplantae; Streptophyta; Magnoliopsida; Poales; Poaceae
Description: long non-coding RNA (ZMAY_LNC005552)
Source: RNAcentral
UAAGAAAUCAGAGUCAGCAAGAUAUACAUUGGACUUGGAGACAAACACACAGAAUGCUAGCCAAAUCAUUUGACCUAUAUAUGCUUCGGUACACAAAGGCUACCACCAGCUCCAUUAUCCAAUGACAUUCUGCAGCUAAGUGGCAACUGUAACAAGCAGAGGACCACAGCAGCAGCAGGCAUGCAAGCACACAUUCCGACAUUCCGUAGUGUUGGUUUUUUUCUAUAGUUGCACACAAGUUCUGUUCUGAAUACUACUGUAGGGGUGGAGCUGCAAAAUAGCGCUAGGUUAUUUCAGAAUAAAGACAAACAGACAGACAUAAUUUUAGUCCUAGUGUCUUAUGUUCUUGUGCGUGCCAUGUGAUGACGUGUCUCCUCCAUAGCCAUUAUUAUUAGGUAUACAACUCUACAAGCCAAUGCCAAUGCUUUGAUAUUUCAGUCUCUGCAAGUAUAUGCUAAUAGUACCGAAUUCCACUAGAUUCACAUUUGUGCUUAAUUGGAGUCUCGAACUAAUGUGUUGAUAAUUGACAAACUUUUUGUCAGACAUGCACCACACCAAUACCGGGCAACAAGCCAUGUAAUGACCGCCAACCGGCCGGCCACGCUGCUCGGAGCACGCUGCCGGAUCGGAGGUUGCCGCGUGAAAGAAGGCAGGUCGAGCUCACGUAGGUCAGUAGAAUGACAAAUUUCUGUCUUCCUUCCCGCGUGGAAACUGGUUGGAUCUCUCACUUACUCCCGUGCGUAAUCCACGAGCUGUUUGCAGCAUCUACUAGCGGAGAUGCUCUAGUUGCGUGCCGGACUGCCAGUUCAAACGUCAAACAAACAAAAAAAAAACUUGAAGAUAAAACAGGUUGCCAGUAAAAAAAAACUAGAAAGGGUAGAGAAAAUUUUGCAUGUUGCAUGGCCGUCUAUUCUUAUGCACGGAGCGAAAAAGGAUGAAGGAAAACGGAUCGAACCCAGCUCUACGGCCUGCGGUGCACCCAAAGAAGAGGAGAACGAAGGGGGCUAGAGCAGUAGAGCUCGACCUUGAAUCAGCGGAUGUGCGGCUUCGCGUGUCGUCGUCGAUCCACAUCCACAGCGCGAAGGCGACCAGGAACCACGCGGGCGAGACGGGCGGCGCGGCGAGAAUCUCGGCGAAGAGGAGGUAGACGGCGGCCGAGAUCAUCACGGCGACAGCUACGACACGCGACGGAGACGGGAGGACGGCGACCCGGUCGCGGUCCGGCACCGUUCCUGCCUUCCAUCGCAGAUGAGAUCGCUAUCUUCUCUUCUUUCCUUGUCUCGAAGGGGACUGGUGUGUGCGUGCUGCAAGCCUCAGGCUCUA